This 585-nucleotide ribosomal RNA is filed under the name Triticum aestivum (bread wheat). RNAcentral's name for it is "partial small subunit ribosomal RNA". Lineage: Eukaryota; Viridiplantae; Streptophyta; Magnoliopsida; Poales; Poaceae. The record is from RNAcentral.
AUGUCAACACACUUAUAUAUUCAGUCCUACUGGAAUGAUCUCCAAGUCUUGAAAAAACCGCACAUUCAGCACUCACAUCCCAGGCCAGUGAGGCCAUCCCAUUGGAUCCAACCGCCGGAGCACUUGAUGAAGGUGAAUGUAGAUGCUGCGGUUUCGGAACGACGAGGUGUAGGCUCAGUGGCAGCAAUUUGCAGAAACAGAGAUGGACUCUAUCUAGGUGCUUCAUCGGUGGUAUUCAGAGGGAUAACUGAUCCGACAACUUUGGAAGCUCUAGCGGUAAGGGAGGCCCUGGCAUUGGCAGAGGAUCUAAACAUACAAGCUAUACAUGUGGCUUCCGAUUGCUCAGUGGUGAUAGAUGAUCUCAAGAGAAGAAGCGGGGCUGGUUAUGGGGCUAUUAUACAUGAAAUACUAAAGUACUCUACUAGUUUUACUUCGUGUAAUUUUGUUCAUGAAUUUAGGAGCUCGAAUGUCGAAGCUCACAAUCUAGCAAAGCAUGCACUAAAACUGGGGCUUGGUCGCCAUGUUUGGUUGGGCCACCCUGGGGAUCUUCAUUUCGUCCAUGUAAACUAUGUGACGGAUCAAUAA